RNAcentral lists this long non-coding RNA (209 nucleotides) under Solanum tuberosum (potato). Its description in RNAcentral is "long non-coding RNA (STUB_LNC001609)". The record is from RNAcentral. Lineage: Eukaryota; Viridiplantae; Streptophyta; Magnoliopsida; Solanales; Solanaceae.
UUAUAUCAAUGUGUGAUAAGUCAGAGAUUUUGAACUCAUUUGAGGCUUAUAGUUCACUAAAUAGUAUCAUUAAUGCUUGUUUAUAUCCAUUUUCGAUGUUAAAUUGCUUGACUUUUAGCUAUGAGAGCUCAAGGACAAAACAAAGACAAAUAGAAGAAAAAAGAAGUCAAUUGCCAAAAAUAUUGGAGAACUCUACUACAAAUGGAAGC